UACAGAGGGGGCAAGCGUUAUUCGGAAUUAUUGGGCGUAAAGGGCGCGUAGGCGGCUUCGCAAGUGGAAGGUGAAAUCCCUCGGCUUAACCGAGGAACUGCCCUCCAACUGCGUUGCUUGAGGCCGGGAGAGGUGAGUGGAAUUCCCAGUGUAGCGGUGAAAUGCGUAGAUAUUGGGAGGAACACCAGUGGCGAAGGCGGCUCACUGGACCGGUUCUGACGCUGAUGCGCGAAAGCGUGGGGAGCAAACGGGG
Molecule: ribosomal RNA, 253 nt
Filed under: uncultured bacterium
Lineage: Bacteria
Description: partial 16S ribosomal RNA
Rfam family: Bacterial small subunit ribosomal RNA
Source: RNAcentral